RNAcentral lists this non-coding RNA (19 nucleotides) under Rattus norvegicus (Norway rat). The record is from RNAcentral. Lineage: Eukaryota; Metazoa; Chordata; Mammalia; Rodentia; Muridae.
GAUGAGGACUCUUCGGUGU